CGUAGGGUCCGAGCGUUGUCCGGAAUUAUUGGGCGUAAAGGGCUUGUAGGCGGUUUGUCACGUCGGAAGUGAAAACUCAGGGCUUAACCCUGAGCCUGCUUCCGAUACGGGCAAACUAGAGGGAUGCAGGGGAGAAUGGAAUUCCUGGUGGAGCGGUGGAAUGCGCAGAUAUCAGGAGGAACACCGGUGGCGAAGGCGGUUCUCUGGGCAUUUCCUGACGCUGAGAAGCGAAAGCGUGGGGAGCAAACAGGCUUAGAUACCCUGGUAGUCCACGCCGUAAACGGUGGGCACUAGGUGUGGGGAACAUUCCACGUUCUCCGUGCCGAAGCUAACGCAUUAAGUGCCCCGCCUGGGGAGUACGGCCGCAAGGCUA
This 373-nucleotide ribosomal RNA is filed under the name uncultured organism. Its description in RNAcentral is "bacterial SSU rRNA". It matches the Rfam family "Bacterial small subunit ribosomal RNA", at positions 526 to 896 of the family's 1533-position model. The record is from RNAcentral.